This is a non-coding RNA of Oryza brachyantha (malo sina), 180 nucleotides long. The record is from Rfam. Lineage: Eukaryota; Viridiplantae; Streptophyta; Magnoliopsida; Poales; Poaceae.
UUUCAUUUUUUCGUAUCCAACGUUUGACUAUUCGUCUUAUUUGAAAUUAUUUUACGAUUAAUUUUUUUAUUAUUACUAGAUGAUAAAAUAUAAAUAGUACUUUAUACAUGACUAUUUUUUAGGUUUUUGCAUAAAAUUUUUAAAUAAGACGGAUGCUUAAACGUUGAACAUGAAAAAACA